GGUUCGGUAGCUUGGUUGAUAAGCGCUCGUCUAGCAUACAAGAGUCCUGGGUUCGAAUCCCAGCCGAGCAC
Aedes aegypti (yellow fever mosquito) is the source of this 71-nucleotide non-coding RNA. The record is from Rfam. Lineage: Eukaryota; Metazoa; Arthropoda; Insecta; Diptera; Culicidae.